This 253-nucleotide ribosomal RNA is filed under the name uncultured bacterium. RNAcentral's name for it is "partial 16S ribosomal RNA". It matches the Rfam family "Bacterial small subunit ribosomal RNA", at positions 524 to 776 of the family's 1533-position model. The record is from RNAcentral.
UACGUAGGGCGCAAGCGUUGUCCGGAAUUAUUGGGCGUAAAGAGCUCGUAGGCGGCCUGUUACGUCUGCUGUGAAAUCCCGGGGCUUAACCCCGGGCGUGCAGUGGAUACGGGCAGGCUGGAGGCAGGCAGGGGAGAACGGAAUUCCCGGUGUAGCGGUGAAAUGCGCAGAUAUCAGGAGGAACACCGGUGGCGAAGGCGGGUCUCUGGGCCAAAACUGACGCUGAGGAGCGAAAGCGUGGGGAGCGAACAGG